RNAcentral lists this unclassified non-coding RNA (236 nucleotides) under plant metagenome. Its description in RNAcentral is "partial contains small subunit ribosomal RNA, internal transcribed spacer 1, and 5.8S ribosomal RNA". The record is from RNAcentral.
UUUCCGUAGGUGAACCUGCGGAAGGAUCAUUACUGAGUGAGGGCCCCUCGGGGUCCAACCUCCCACCCGUGUUUAACGAACCUUGUUGCUUCGGCGGGCCCGCCGCACGGCCGCCGGGGGGCAUCUGCCCCCGGGCCCGCGCCCGCCGACGCCACCUGUGAACGCUGUCUGAAGUAUGCAGUCUGAGACAAUUAUUAAAUUAAUUAAAACUUUCAACAACGGAUCUCUUGGUUCCG